This is an RNA transcript of Cebus imitator (Panamanian white-faced capuchin), 1408 nucleotides long. It is a transcript of the gene named actin, cytoplasmic 1-like, with no coding region annotated. The transcript has 2 exons. Lineage: Eukaryota; Metazoa; Chordata; Mammalia; Primates; Cebidae. The record is from RefSeq and is a predicted model, not a curated record.
UAAGACCGUGUCCACCCUGCGAGCACAGAGCCUUGCCCUUGCCGUUCCGCCGCCCAUCCACACCCGCCGCCAGCUCACCAUGGAUGAUGAUAUCGCUGCACUUGUUGUCGACAACAGCUCCCGCAUGUGCAAGGCCAGCUUCGUGGGCGACGAUGCUCCCCGGGCCGUCUUCCCUUCCAUCUUGGGGCACCCCAGGCACCAGGGCGUGAUGGUGAGCAUGGGUCAGAAGGACUCCUACGUGGGUGAUGAGGCCCAGAGUAAGAGAGGCAUCCUGACCCUGAAGUACCCCAUUGAGCACGGCAUUGUCACCAACUAGGACGACAUGGAGAAGAUCUGGCACCACACUUUCUACGAGCUGCAUGUGGCUCCUGAGGAGCACCCCAUGCUGCUUACUGAGGCACCCCUGAACCCCAAGGCCAACUGCGAGAAGAUGACCCAGAUCAUGUUUGAGACCUUCAACACCCCAGCCAGGUAUGUGGCCAUCCAGGCUGUGCUUUCCUUGUACGCCUCCGACCGUACCACUGGCAUUGUGAUGGACUCCACUAACGGGGUCACCCACAUUGUGCCCAUCUAUGAGGGGUAUGCCCUCCCCCACACCAUCCUGCAUCUGGACCUGGCUGGCCGGGACCUGACUGACUACCUCAUGAAGAUCCUCAACGAGCGCGGCUACAGCUUCACCACUACGGCUGAGUGGGAAAUCGUGUGUGACAUCAAGGAGAAGCUGUGCUACGUUGCCCUGGACUUCAAGCAGGAGAUGGCCACGGUGGCCUCCAGCUCCUCCCUGGAGAAGAACUAUGAGCUGCCUGAUGGUCAGGUCAUCACCAUCGGCAACAAGUGGUUCUGUUGCCCUGAGGCGCCCUUCUAGCCUUCUUUCCUGGGCAUGGAAUCUUGUGGCAUCCACGAAACUACUUUCAACUCCAUCAUGAAGUAUGAUGUGGACAUCCGCAAAGACCUGUAUGCCAACACAGUGCUGUCUGGCGGUACCACCAUGUACCCUGGCAUCGCUGGCAGGAUGCAGAAGGAGAUCACUGGCCUGGCACCCAGCACGAUGAAGAACAAGAUCAUUGCUCCUCCCAAGCACAAGUACUCCGUGUGGAUCGGUGGCUCCAACCUGGCCUUGCUGUCCACCUUCCAGCAGUUGUGGGUCAGCAAGCAGGAGUACGAUGAGUCUGGCCCCUCCAUCAUCCACCGCAAAUGCUUCUACGCGGACUGUGACUUAGUUGCGUUACACCCUUUCUUGAUAAAACCUAACUUGCGCAGAAAACAAGAUGAGAUUGGCAUGGCUUUAUUUUAUUUAUUUAUUUAUUUAUUUUGCUUGACUCAGGAUUUAAAAACUGGAACAGUGAAGGUGACAGCAGUCGGUUGGAGCGAGCAUCUCCCAGAGUUCUACAAUGUGGCUGAGGACUUG